GUACAACAUUAAUGGCAGAUCCACAGCACUGGGAAGGACUUAAAUACUAGACUAACGAGGGAACAAACAGGAGGCAGCUGGGAUUGCUUAACAAAAGGGCUGGAACAAGUGGUAAGACAAACAAGCUCCAGGUGUGUUUUGUUAGAGCCACGCCAGGGAGGAGACAGGAGGGGCAGAUAGGCAGAGUGUGACACAAUGGCUAUAAAUAUUGUAGUUGCAAAAUAGCUAUGAGAGAAAUCUGGAGUUACAGGAUAUGGACGGCUAUGAGAGGAAGCUGAAGGUUGACAGUGGCUAUGAAAGAUUAAGCUCCCAGAAAAAUGUGGACUGUCUGUGGGUGACCAAGGACUGGACUGGGAAACACUGACCUAAAGGAGCUGGAUGGCUAGAAGGAGGAGACUGAAGCCACAUGGUCAGAAUAGUUAUGGAAAAAGUGAAGCUGAAGCUGCAGGUUGGAAUGGCUAUGAGAGAUGUUUCUGGGUUGGGGGGUCUGCAAGAGGAUGAUUACCAAUAAACACUUGAUGAACUGUAGUGAGAUCAUCCCAACAGACUGUUCAUGCAAAAAUUUUACCUGUACCUGAAAUCAUAUGAACAGUACAAGAAGCAUACGUGACUAAACUAUUAAACACAGUACUGAA
Paramormyrops kingsleyae is the source of this 635-nucleotide long non-coding RNA. RefSeq lists it as uncharacterized. Lineage: Eukaryota; Metazoa; Chordata; Actinopteri; Osteoglossiformes; Mormyridae. The record is from RefSeq and is a predicted model, not a curated record.